This 464-nucleotide ribosomal RNA is filed under the name uncultured bacterium. Its description in RNAcentral is "partial 16S ribosomal RNA". It matches the Rfam family "Bacterial small subunit ribosomal RNA", at positions 28 to 507 of the family's 1533-position model. The record is from RNAcentral.
AUUGAACGCUGGCGGCAGGCCUAACACAUGCAAGUCGAGCGGAUGAAGGGAGCUUGCGCCUGGAGUCAGAGGCGGAAGGGUGAGUAAUGCCUAGGAAUCUGCUGGGCAGUAGGGGGUAACGUCCGGAAGCGGGCGCUAAUACCGCAUACGUCCUGAGGGAGAAGGUGGGUGAUGUUUGGAUUCGGCGGUUGGGGCUGAGUCUACGGCUGAUUAGCUAGUUGGUGGGGUAGAGGCUUACCAAGGCUUUGAUCGGUAGCCGGCCUGAGAGGGUGACCGGCCACAUUGGGACUGAGAUACGGCCCAGACUCCUACGGGAGGCAGCAGUGGGGAAUAUUGCACAAUGGGCGGAAGCCUGAUGCAGCAACGCCGCGUGCGGGAUGACGGCCUUCGGGUUGUAAACCGCUUUCGCCUGUGACGAAGCGUGAGUGACGGUAAUGGGUAAAGAAGCACCGGCUAACUACGUG